GUGGGGAAUAUUGGACAAUGGGCGAAAGCCUGAUCCAGCCAUGCCGCGUGUGUGAAGAAGGUCUUCGGAUUGUAAAGCACUUUAAGUUGGGAGGAAGGGCAGUAAGUUAAUACCUUGCUGUUUUGACGUUACCGACAGAAUAAGCACCGGCUAACUUCGUGCCAGCAGCCGCGGUAAUACGAAGGGUGCAAGCGUUAAUCGGAAUCAUUGGGCGUAAAGCGCACGCAGGCGGUUAUAUAAGACAGAUGUGAAAUCCCCGGGCUCAACCUGGGAACUGCCUCCAAAACUGCAUGACUAGAGUACGGUAGAGGGUAGUGGAAUUUCCUGUGUAGCGGUGAAAUGCGUAGAUAUAGGAAGGAACACCAGUGGCGAAGGCGACUACCUGGACUGAUACUGACACUGAGGUGCGAAAGCGUGGGGAGCAAACAGGAUUAGAUACCCGAGUAGUCC
RNAcentral lists this ribosomal RNA (450 nucleotides) under uncultured bacterium. Its description in RNAcentral is "partial 16S ribosomal RNA". It matches the Rfam family "Bacterial small subunit ribosomal RNA", at positions 354 to 796 of the family's 1533-position model. The record is from RNAcentral.